CCAAUAGGGCUGCUUAGCAGGUUACUUUGAUAUAGUAAAUAGUAAAUUUUAUUUUCGUUGGU
This 62-nucleotide transfer RNA is filed under the name Hymenolepis diminuta. Its description in RNAcentral is "tRNA-Ile". The record is from RNAcentral. Lineage: Eukaryota; Metazoa; Platyhelminthes; Cestoda; Cyclophyllidea; Hymenolepididae.